Molecule: ribosomal RNA, 451 nt
Filed under: uncultured bacterium
Lineage: Bacteria
Description: partial 16S ribosomal RNA
Rfam family: Bacterial small subunit ribosomal RNA
Source: RNAcentral
GUGGGGAAUAUUGGACAAUGGGGGGAACCCUGAUCCAGCCAUGCCGCGUGUGUGAAGAAGGCCUUUUGGUUGUAAAGCACUUUAAGCGAGGAGGAGGCUACCGAGAUUAAUACUCUUGGAUAGUGGACGUUACUCGCAGAAUAAGCACCGGCUAACUCUGUGCCAGCAGCCGCGGUAAUACAGAGGGUGCAAGCGUUAAUCGGAUUUACUGGGCGUAAAGCGUGCGUAGGUGGCCAAUUAAGUCAAAUGUGAAAUCCCCGAGCUUAACUUGGGAAUUGCAUUCGAUACUGGUUGGCUAGAGUAUGGGAGAGGAUGGUAGAAUUCCAGGUGUAGCGGUGAAAUGCGUAGAGAUCUGGAGGAAUACCGAUGGCGAAGGCAGCCAUCUGGCCUAAUACUGACACUGAGGUGCGAAAGCAUGGGGAGCAAACAGGAUUAGAUACCCGGGUAGUCC